This is a small nuclear RNA of Solanum dulcamara, 116 nucleotides long. RefSeq annotates it as U5 spliceosomal RNA. The transcript has a single exon. The record is from RefSeq and is a predicted model, not a curated record. NCBI's taxonomy places the organism in Eukaryota, Viridiplantae, Streptophyta, Magnoliopsida, Solanales, Solanaceae.
UGGCCAUGAAGCGAGCACAAAUCGAAUUAUUCUUUCGCCUUUUACUAAAGAAUUCUGUGUGCGAUGCAAUUAGUGGCAUACUCCAGGGAUUCUUUCUUUUUGAGUACCCCAACAAA